This is a long non-coding RNA of Artibeus jamaicensis (Jamaican fruit-eating bat), 1770 nucleotides long. RefSeq lists it as uncharacterized. The record is from RefSeq and is a predicted model, not a curated record. The transcript has 4 exons. NCBI's taxonomy places the organism in Eukaryota, Metazoa, Chordata, Mammalia, Chiroptera, Phyllostomidae.
AGAAGGAGCGCUGCGGCGGAGGUGUAUUUUUCGGCGGCCGAAGGUGAGCGGCAACGAGCGCGGCAACUUCCACGGGAGAAGGAGAGCGGCAAUGGUGGCCGCAUCUUCCACGGGAGAAGGAGAGUGGCCGCCGAGGUGGGUAUCUGUGUGACCGGAGAAGGUGAACAUUAGUGGAGGUGGUAGCAGUGAGAGCCUGUGCCUAAGUUCUGGAAUCCCGAAGAUCAACCUCAGUUUCCUGGAUCAUGGUGCCGGGAGAGAAGAAGCUGCCGGGAGAAAGUUAUGCCAUCUGGCUCACUUAACCAUAAGAAAACUUGGCACCCACAUUCAACCAGAAUGACUAUCAGUUAUCGAAACAUCUUAUUUUAUCCUUGCCAAGAACAAAGUGACAGUUGAUUUCAAAGUGUCAGUGGUCAACUUGGUUCCACCUGGUGAUCCAGAGCUUUGCCUCCUUCCAUCUUGGGUUCCUGCCAUGCUCUCUUGCUUGGCAGAAUCUUCUUCCUGAAGCUGCCAGAGAAGUAGAAGAGUGAAGAAGACAAUCCAUGCUUCUUAAAAGGCCCAGACCAGAGGUGACACCCAUCACUUCCACUUACAUGCAACUGGUAGGAAAGAAAAAGAAAUUACAGAGAGAUACUGCCGUCAUCUCUUCCACAGAAGUCUUACUUGAGGCUCCUGGACCCACCUUCUCUGGUACCUUCUUACUCUUUCUAUUCCAUUUAAUGUAAUGCAGUUUUGCAAAACUGUUUUCAAGCCAUUGUUGCCUUGGUUUAAAGUAGUCUAGAUGGGCAUGAUAUAAACUAGAGUUUGUGUAUACAGAGCUCUUCAUACGUUAUAUUUAAUCUUAUUUGCUUCAUAAAAUAAAACUUGUAAGUAAUGAUUUUCACAAUUUUUAAAAUAAAUUCACAUUUAAAUCCAUUUCCCACUAUAAAACUAACAAAAUGUUUAGAAGAUAAUAUUUAAGGUUGGUGAGGAUAUUGUGAGAGGAACAGUCUCAUUUACUGAUACCGUUAAUUUAAAUAUGAAUAGACUUUCUGAAAAUCAGUUUGUCAAUUGAGGGUUGACAAACGUCUGUGCCAUUUGUCUUGGUUAUAUACACACGCAAAUAGAUCCAAAGAGACACUCUAACCUCCAAAACCGCAAAGUGUCAAUGGUGGUUUUUACUUUGGAAUUAUGUAUAUUUAAAAAAUUUUUCUCAGUGAGAAAGUAUUACUUUUAUGAUUAUGGUACAAAUACUUUCACUGGAUAAGAUUCAAUGAGAUGCAUACCAUCUUUUAUAAAGAAUAUAAUAUCAACUGAUUAUAUAUGUACAUGUAUAUAUACAUAUAUAACCACUCUCUUAAAUACACCUGUUUUUUAAGGCCUAAAAUGAAAUUACAAAUGAACUAAAUCUAAACCCAUGUCUACGAAUAAGUGUUAGGCUUAUCAGAAUAGGACAGUCUUAGGAACCUCCAGGACAUCUUUAAAUGCUCCAACAUCCGAAUUAUAGGGGUACCAGAAGGGGGAAAGGCACAGCCACCAGUGCAAAACUUAUUUGAACAAAUAAUAAAGGAGAAUUUCCCCAAUCUGGCAAAGGAAAUAGACUUCCAAGAAAUCCAGGAAGCUCAGAGAGUCCCAAAGAAGUUGGACCCAAGAAGGAACACACCAAGGCACAUCAUAAUUACAUUAGCCAAAAUUAAAAUGAAAGAGAGAAUCCUAGAAGCAGCAAGAGAUAAGGGGACUGUCACCUACAAAGGAGUCCCCAUCAGACUGUGAGCUGAUUUCUCAAAAGAGACC